GGGGGGCUCGCAAAUGGCGCGCAGCCUGAUGCAGCCAUGCCGCGUGUAUGAAGAAGGCCUUCGGGUUGUAAAGUACUUUCAGCAGUGAGGAAGGCGGGUGUGUUAAUAGCGCAUUCGUUUGACGUUAGCUGCAGAAGAAGCACCGGCUAACUCCGUGCCAGCAGCCGCGGUAAUACA
Molecule: ribosomal RNA, 177 nt
Filed under: uncultured Vibrio sp.
Lineage: Bacteria; Pseudomonadati; Pseudomonadota; Gammaproteobacteria; Vibrionales; Vibrionaceae
Description: partial 16S ribosomal RNA
Rfam family: Bacterial small subunit ribosomal RNA
Source: RNAcentral